Molecule: long non-coding RNA, 2431 nt
Filed under: Heterocephalus glaber (naked mole-rat)
Lineage: Eukaryota; Metazoa; Chordata; Mammalia; Rodentia; Bathyergidae
Description: lncRNA (ENSHGLG00100051129.1)
Source: RNAcentral
CUCAUGCGUACUUCCAAUCACAUCUCCCUUCACAUGGGUCACUUUGUAGCCAAUCAGAUCCUCUCUUCCUUGCCCGGCUCCUGAAGCCUGGCCUGUUGGUCCCGCCGAGGCUGCCAGUGGCACCCCAAGGCACUCUGGGCAGAGGUUCCACUGCUCGCAGCCCAGCAGGCAAACGCUAGAACUCGCUAGCUCCUUUAUCGUUUCAAGAUGCGAAUGAAGCGUCCUCCUGUGGGGCUUGGGAGAUGGCUUCCAUGGCAACUGCCACAGAGGUGACAGGUCCGAGAAGCGUGGGAGAAUUCGCUUCCUGAGGUUAAACCAAGGACAGCUAGAAGACCGGAGGAAGUGAAAGAUCCAUCUCCCCUCCCCCGCCCUCGGAGCGCUUGUUCCGAGGAUGGUUCUUUGUACUGCCUGUGCUGUUAACAUGCUGACUUGUUUUUCUAUCCCAUCCUUUCCUGUCUUCAGUUUGUCUUUCUUCCCCUUUGGCACCUUGAAUUUGCGUAUCACCAAAAUUGUUAGCAUGCAAUCUCUGUAUGGGGUUCUCUUUUCUAGGAGACAUGACUGACUUACGAUGUUCAUCAUUCAGAGGUAACUGAUGGAUUUGAGAUUUUCUUUUCCUAUUUGAUUCAUCUUAAAUUGGCUUCUGCAGAGGAUGUGAGCUGGUGCAUGAUCAUCUACCUCAAUCCAAAGGAUUUGAGCAUUACUCUCCAACUACAAAAGACCUCCGAACUGAGAAGGAAUGAAUCUCUGACCCAUUUGUGAAUAAGCCAGGUGAACUGACUUUGUGCUAGAGAGGAUCAACUGGUUGAGAGUGCAAAUGAUGAUGGCCUUAAAAGUGUGAGACCGAGGGCCUUAUCAAACGCUCCGAGGAGCUGACUGCAGCGACGAUCACCCGGGAAGGAACACACCGGACAAGUUGGAAAGUAAAACAGACCUUUAUUAGUCUGGCCAGACGGCACUCCCAAAGCAAAGUAGCUAAGAGAGGCAACUGGCUCAGAGUCCGAGGCUGUUUUAUAGGGGGUUGAGGGGGAGGUUAACAUAUAGAAUUAAAGAAAAGAGGACAAAGGUUAGUGGUCGACUGUCACGUAUUGGUGGUCAGCAGACAUUUGCAGCUUGUUCUAUAGAUUGUGGUGUCCGGAACAUCAGUUCCAGGCAAACAAGGAGUUGAGUAGUUUACUUUGGGACUUUAGGUCUGUUACAGAUUUUAUCUAGUGUCCCAAAACUAACAAGCAUCUUUAUCCAUUAACUCACAUUUAAUCACAAUGGGGCUGGAGAAAAGGAACAAAGGUUAUGCAGUCCCACAAAAGUAUGUCUGAGACAACUUGAGAUCUCCAUACAUUCUGGAUUAAGGUGAAGGCAGAGUAUCCUGAGAUUACCACAAAAGCACUGAAAGAGGGCUGCUUUCAUUUCUAACAUUCUGUCUUUGUGGUGCAGGGUUUUCCACAGUGACGGCAGCCAAAACGAGAUUAUGGAUCAGUCUAAACAUAAGCAGCACACUUCGGGUGUCACUGUCCUUCAUCACCCUCAGAUGGGAUCAUUGAGUAGCAGGAAAUCAAGCUCGAGACUCCCACUGAUUCUGCAUUGUGUGAGGUGUGCAGUUAUUUCAUAAUCUAUUACAACAUAAUAAAAAUACAAAUAAAGCCUACAAUAAAUAUAAUGUACUUGAAUCAUUCUCCAUUAAUGGAAAAGUUGUCUUCCAUGAAACCAGUCCCUGGUGCCAAAAAAUUUGAAGAUUUCUGGCCUAAAAUAUAAUCUACCCUGGAGAAUGUUCCAUGUGCACUUGAGAAAAAUGCUGGGGAGAAUGUUGCAUGUGUGUAUGUCUGACUAUUAUGUCCAUUUAAUCUAUAGCAUUCACGUCUACUGUCUGUUGAUUUUCUGUCUGGAUAGUCUAUCCAUUGUUGAAAGUGGUUAUAAUGAAGGUUACUAUUACUGUAUUCCUAUUUCUCAUUCAGUUCUGCUCCUAUUUGCAGUAUAUAUUCAGCAGUUCUGAUGUUAGAUGCAUAGAUAUUUACAGCUGCUAUAUCCUGUCAAGGAACUGAUCCCUGUGUCAGUACCUAAGAACUUUCUUUUCCUCUUGCGACAGUGUUUGGCAAAAGGCUAUUUAAUCUGACAUAAGUAUAGCCACCUCUGCUUUCUUCAGGUUACAUUUGCAUGAAAUAUCUUUUUCAUCUCUUCACUUUAUACUACUUGUGUCUUUAAUGCUAAAGUGAGUCCCUUUGGGGCAGAGUAUAGUUGAGUGUUUUUAAAAAAUAUAUUGUACGUUGUAUUUUAAAAUGCACUUAAAAUACAUUAUAAAAUACCAGAAUUCAUUCUGUUUCUUUUGAUCAAAGGUUUUAAUAAAGUUAUAUUUAAAAUAAUUAUUGACAUGUAAGAAUUUACUACUGUAAUUUUGUUAACUAUGUUUUUACUAUUUUGUAGUGUCUUUGUUCCCCAG